RNAcentral lists this long non-coding RNA (3894 nucleotides) under Podarcis lilfordi (Lilford's wall lizard). Lineage: Eukaryota; Metazoa; Chordata; Lepidosauria; Squamata; Lacertidae. The record is from RNAcentral.
CUCAGUUCCUUCAGUGCUACCGCGCCACUGCCCGCCUGACGCUUCUUGGCAGCUCUGAUUUUUCCUUCCGGAUCAAUGCAGACCUUUUCCCAUGGCACUCUUCGCUUAAUUCAGCAGCAAUUUAAAUAUUCGUAAAAGUCUGGUGCUUAAAUUCGAAAAUAAAUAAAAGAAACGCGGGGUCUCGGGUCUCACACCUGCAUGUGUCCUCUCCCGUGGAUGUGGAUAUUCUUCUCGCUAAUCCUACCUCCAGAGUUUCUUUCUCGUAAGGUUCAGUGGCAAGAGGUAAAAACUCUGCAGACUGUGCUUUUAUAGAUAGUAUUACACAGGCAGGCAACCUCUGCCCACAUUCCUUACUCCCUGCUAGGGCAAGAUCACACUUCCCCUCUCCUUCUCCCAGUAGUUAUUUCUCCCCUCUCCCUGAAAACCGUGUCUCUUCCUAGCCUAUUCCCAGGAUCAAUGGUAAAUAUGGACAAAGAAUAAAGAAUAUGUAUCCUGGUGAGAGCGGUUAGGAGCAAAUUAUCUGAGUGUGAUGGCUGGUAUAUAGGGAAGCACUGCCCUGCUUCAGCUCGGGCUCCAGGGUCACAGGCGGUUUUAGGGUAGCUGCAGGGGGCGACACAACAGUGCUGUAGGAUGGAGUUGGAGAGGUGGUGGGCCGGCGAAUUUUAGCAUUGCACAGGGUGCCACUGAAAUUUGAGAGCCCAAAUCCAUCACUGCCCAGGUAUUCCCACAGGUCUUUCAAAAUCACCACCAGUGGGGAUUGAUGCAGCCACUAAGACAAUUUAAUAGCUGUUAGGCCUCCAGAGAUAUUUACUUUCUAAUACUUUCCUAUACAUAGCAGUGAUGACCACCCAGUGGCAGCUUGAUGAGGAAGAUUCCUAUGAUGGUUUUGAAAGUAUCCAGGCAUGGCCUGUACCCUCUGAUUUCCCCUCCAGCAGUUUCCUGUCUCCUCUCCCCAGGAAAAACCUUUUUUUAAAAAAAGAAAAUAUCCAAGCAUCUAAGGGAAUUUUAUUCUCUGAGGGUUUAUCAUGCCACCUUUCAUUCUUCAGAACAGUUAAAUACUUGUUGCACUGAGCAACCCCAUGAAUAUCUAAUUAUUUUCCUUUAAAAAAACAACAAUAACGAAAGGUUAAAAAGAUACUGCUUGUCUCUUGUUUUCUUAAGCAAACUACAUAAACCUCUGUCUUCAAAACCAACUAAAACUCUUGAGGCAUCUUAAACACUAACAAAUUUAUUAUAGCACAAGUGUUUGUGGACUCAAGGCCAUUUCAACAGAUGCAAGUCAAGGGGACUUGAGUCCAUUAACGCUUGUACCAUAAUGAAUUUGUAGUUCUGAAGGUGCCACAGGGUUUUUAAAAAAAACAAAACUAUUUUUUCCCCCUGCAAGAGACUAUUACAUAUACACCUCUGGAAAUUUAUAUGACCAGGCUCAGUUGUCUCCUUCGUCAUGUUGUCUGCUUUUCAUGUGUUAGUGAUGGCUUAGGUCUAGGCAUAAAAUCACCAAGGUGUAUAGUGUGUGCAUGCAUGUGCAUUUAGAACUGCAUUCUAACAAAUUCACAUGCUUUCCUUCAAUUCCAUGUUAUUCUCUUUUCAUCCUACAAAAAACUCUUGGAUGUCAAAUCAUUAUUAAUUUUAUGGUUGUUGUUGUUGCUGCUGCUAUUUAUUUAUUUAAUAAAAAUUACACACCGCUUCAUUGUAAAAAAAAGAAAUAAAUCUCAAAGCAGUUUACUAAAGAUAAAGAGAGUAGAGAAACUCACAACCAUACUUUUAAAACAUACAAACUACAGCUGUCAUCGCUGCUACCUCCAGAGGAGGUAAACACAGGAACAUGGGAAGCUACCCUAUAUCAAUAUAUCCCCAUAGCUACAAACCUUUCCAUAAGAAAGUAACUAAGAAAAAAGUUUUAAAAUAAAAGAAAAAAGCCACCAAAAUAUAAGCAAUAAAACGAAUGUAACAUUAAUGAAUGACUGAUAAAAUGAUGAAUGCACUUAUAAAAUAGAAGUGAACAGACAAAUGAAAAAUUUAAAACACUUCAGUGUUUUAAGUCCGCCAUACACAGCAAUAAAAUUCAGAGUUGUAUUAUAUAAACCAUGUAAAACACAUUUCUUCUUCUUCUUCUCUGGCGAUCACUCGUGGCCGAGUAAGAUUGUCUUCCAUAAACACAGUUUUAACAGUGUUGAAGCAAUGAUUCUUUAACAUCAACUUUGUUGGACUGGUCUAGUUGUUCAGAUCAGUGGCGUAGCGUGGGGGGUGCAGGGGGUGCCGGCCACACCGGGCACAACAUCUGGGGGUUAGGGUUAGGGGGUGCAAAUCCACAGGUUAGGGGGUGCAAAUUACUUGCCUUGCCCCGGGUGCUGACAACCCACGCUAUGCCACUGGUUCAGAUGCCUGAUUAUUGUCUUCCAUAGCAACUACAGUGGUACCUCUGGUUACGUACUUAAUUCGUUCUGGAGGUCCUUUCUUAACCUGAAACUGUUCUUAACCUGAGGUACCACUUUAGCUAAUGGGGCCUCCUGCUGCCACCACUGCACAAUUUCUGUUCUCAUCCUGAAGCAAAGUUCUUAACCCAAGGUACUAUUUCUGGGUUAGUGGAGCCUGUAAGCUGAAGCAUCUGUAACCCGAGGUACCACUGUACUCUAUUCUGAACUUUAAAAUGGAAAGUGUAAUGCUGGUGGUCAACGAAAGAGGUUUGAAGACUCUCUCAAGGCAAAUCUUAAAACAAAAAUGAAGAAGUAUAAAACACAUUACAUAUUAUCUGUCACACUUAUUUUCCUCGGAGUAAAUGCAGGGCUUUUAUUUCCACCAGAACUUACCGGAACUCAGUUCUGGCACCUCUCAGGUGGGCACCAUUGCCAUUCUAAGAGAACAAGGGAGGUGUCUAUGGUGAGUUCCUUUUCUAGAAAAAUAGCACUGGUAUAUAUGCCAUAACAAAACAUCCCUCAGCAAUAAGUGGUACAGUAAGGGGGAAUCUGACUAGAUGACCCUUCCAACUCUACAAUGUCUAUGAUUCUUGCAGGUAGAUGGAUUUUUCACCAUUUGCACAAGCAAACCUUGCUGAUUGAGUGGCAUCAGUCUGGAACCUGUCUAUGACCUCCAAGAACUGAAUCCAGGCCUGUUGUCAAAUACUGCAUGCCAGUCUUUCUCCAGGGGGUCAGGUACAUGCAUAAAUUUAUCAGUACAGUAUGCCUUAUGACUGCCCUCAGAUUUCUGUACCCUGAUAAAUGGAAGGCAAGAGUCUGUGAAGGUGAAGCAGCUCACGGGACACUGAAAACAGGGCACACUGUUGGUGCUGGAAGGAUUCUUUGAAACCGGAGUGGUGGGGAUGGGGUUUGAUAACUAUGGGUUUUCACAUUUUUGUCUGUUCUCAUUCUGGUUUUUCGUCUCAAACAUUUCCAUAAAAGCACUUAAGUGUUUCAAAAUAUUUUGUUUCCAUUCCAAUUAUUUCACUUUGCUUCAGUUCCAAGUUAGCAGGACCGGAUUUUAACACACAGGAUUCUUAGGUAUCUUAACAUGCCAAAAACACUGAAAAUUAUUUCCCUUUGAUAAGGAAUGUCCUGCUGUGACUUCCUCACCAUAUCUAUUGAUACAAUAUUUUUGCUUUGCCUACUGUUAGUUACAUACAUUAAAACUGCUUCAGCUAUUCACUAUUUUGACUGCAUGCUAGUGUAAUUGUUUUAUGGUGUACAAAUUGUAUGGUUUUACUAUGCAUUAACUGCAUUUUUAGUGACUUUGAAGAUCGAUAUUGUUUUUGGACUGGUUUCUUAUGGUAUUAAUAUACUAUAAUAUUUAUCUCGGGGCAGCUUUGUUGUUAACUGAGAUAAAUUCUUAUUGUUGAAGUGAAUGUUUAUGAAUGCAUUUCUAUAGAAUUAACAGAUCCAUUGUAUGAUUGAAAUAUUG